Drosophila biarmipes is the source of this 1444-nucleotide long non-coding RNA. RefSeq lists it as uncharacterized. Lineage: Eukaryota; Metazoa; Arthropoda; Insecta; Diptera; Drosophilidae. The record is from RefSeq and is a predicted model, not a curated record. The transcript is spliced from 2 exons.
GAACGCAUCUUUUUUGAUAUUUCAAAACAUAAUCGUGUUAAAUCUAUUUGCACAUCCUUAUCAUAGGUACCUUCUAAAUCAGAUAGUUGAAUAUCAAAUUUUUGUAAAGAUACACACUUAGGAAUAAUAUGAUUAUUGUAAAGAUAUAUUACUUGCUGUCUUAGUAUGGAGUUCCAACAUAAAAAUGUAGUAAAAAAUAUGCCUAAUCUUAGUAAUGAUCUCCAGGACUCAGAAUCAAACUCAAUUUUGUUACCAUACUGAUUAAUCACAAAAACGUACUGAUUAUCUGAUUUCCUAAAUCUAAAGUUACAUUUUAUGGAGUGCAAGCACGGAUGAUCAAUAAUUGUAUCAGGCAUCAAGAAGUCAUACUGGUCCAGCUUCAACUGAAUAAAUUCCUUAUACUUGACAGACCACAUUUCAAUUUUAAGUUAUGAACAACAUAAUACUCGAAUCCAAAAAUGACUUCGUGGUCCUGUUUCUUUCGAGAAGUUUUAUUUCUUUUAGUUACACACAUGUCCAUCAGGUAAGACUACUCUAAAUAAACUGUAAAUAUGUUCUAGUCUUACCGGUAUAUAAAGGAGAAAGCCCUAGCAAGCACACCCUCAGUUGAUUAAAAAAUCUCAACCAAUGAUGAACACAGUCGAUCGUAAUUCAAGCAUUAUAGUAGAUUUUCAAUAUGUACUUGGUAACAACAAACAAGUUUUCGUUAAGGAGCUGGCGUUUAUGCCUGCUGGAACUGUUAUACCUAAUUUUUUCCAUUUCAAACCGCCAUAUAACAUAAAAGAAUUGGAUAAUGGAGCUCUUAAGCAGCAGCACCUUAACCAGCAGAACAUAAACGGAUUGGAUUGGUCAGCUGGAGACAUUCCAUACACAAGUCUUAAAGAAAUACUCACACCACUCAAUAAGUAUCACACAGUUCUUCUUCGUGGUGAAAUUAAAAAGAAUUUUUUAAUCAAGUAUUUAUCAACAAACAUUAUCGAUAUAGAUAUCGGAAGAAGUUUAACUCAACUACCCAAUUUUUCUACGAAUUGUAGAAUACACAAGAAAAAACUUCCACUUCGAUGUUCAUUAAAUAAUUUAUUUAAGCUGUUUGUAUUCUUAGAAAACACCAAUUAUGAAAUAUAUAGUAAUGGUGACACAUGUGUUUAAAAUUUAGUAAAAAGAAAUUCAUAAUCCUAUCAGGUUGUCUCUUAUUAUGGAUUCUUUUAAGAGAUUUUUUGGAAAUGAUCCCCGUAAAAAUGGAUACACGCAACUUAUUUAUUGUAAUUAUUGCGGAUCUGAUACUCAUUUCGAGAAGAACUGCUCCAAGAAACGCGAUCAAGUGAAUAUUAAUAAAACCUAAUAUAACUUAAAAACAUUAUAUAAGCAAUUAGUAAUAAUAUAAUAUAUUAAAAUUCAUUCCGAAUAAAAAAAUUUUUUUAAUAAAAAAUGUUUACACAAUUUA